GUGAGGAAUAUUGGUCAAUGGGCGCAAGCCUGAACCAGCCAUGCCGCGUGCAGGAAGACGGUCCUAUGGAUUGUAAACUGCUUUUAUUUGGGAAUAAACCUCCUUACGUGUAGGGAGCUGAAGGUACCAAAUGAAUAAGCACCGGCUAACUCCGUGCCAGCAGCCGCGGUAAUACGGAGGGUGCAAGCGUUAUCCGGAAUCAUUGGGUUUAAAGGGUCCGCAGGCGGUCAUAUAAGUCAGUGGUGAAAGCCUACAGCUCAACUGUAGAACUGCCAUUGAUACUGUAUGACUUGAAUUCGAUCGAAGUGGGCGGAAUGUGACAUGUAGCGGUGAAAUGCUUAGAUAUGUCACAGAACACCGAUAGCGAAGGCAGCUCACUAGGUCUGGAUUGACGCUCAGGGACGAAAGCGUGGGGAGCAAACAGGAUUAGAUACCCUAGUAGUCC
RNAcentral lists this ribosomal RNA (445 nucleotides) under uncultured bacterium. Its description in RNAcentral is "partial 16S ribosomal RNA". It matches the Rfam family "Bacterial small subunit ribosomal RNA", at positions 354 to 796 of the family's 1533-position model. The record is from RNAcentral.